Molecule: unclassified non-coding RNA, 1039 nt
Filed under: Bombus terrestris (buff-tailed bumblebee)
Lineage: Eukaryota; Metazoa; Arthropoda; Insecta; Hymenoptera; Apidae
Description: misc RNA ENSBTSG00005036931.1
Source: RNAcentral
ACGAUUAGAGGAAACUGGUUGGUAAUCUCGAAACACCGUUUGAGAACCACGGGUCGCACUGAGAGGAACUGAUUAAGAGGUAUUAUUUUGCAUCGCUAUCGAGCAACUAUGCACGCUUAAGGGUCAGAGCAGGCCAUCUUAAGCCGCAGAUAAAUGUAAAAAAUAAGGCGAGCAUACGCGAAGGGAGCGAAAGGUCGGAUUACUCGAGUCCGUUCGAAGAAUCCGUUUCGAAAGCAGACGUUUCGUGUUCUGAUGAUCGAACAUCACAUAACAAUGGAAUAAAGUUGGGCCGAUACGUAGAAGUGAGAAAUUGUAAAAGAAAUCCUUCGCAACUGUACUUCCUAUUCGGCCGCAAGAAAUAAUAAUAAAAAGCGUCAUUGAUCGUGAACCACAAGCAUCGUUACAGAUAAAGACCUCUUGUUAGAUUACUUUGAUCUGGAUAACACGUGGAACUUCAGAAAGAAAUUAUCAACGCUAACGCAAGAGUGGAAAGAGACAGGAGUAAUAUCGCAAUGGAAAUCACUCGGUACACACUUCCUCGAAUCUCGAUCGGUAAACAUUCAAACAUGCAAACGCACAAAAAAUAAUGGCCUUAUGUCGAAGAAACAUGGUCGAUCGUGAUAAACGUACAAAGUACGGAUAGUCGAUGAUUCGAUACAAACACCAACGGAUAAACCGUUUAAGUCAAUAUUAACAUAUAUGUAGUAUUAUGGUGGAAGAACAAUCAAACUCGACAGUGAUACACAACUAUACAAACCAUUUCUUUUUAUCGACAGUACCAAAGUUUAAAUACACGACUCGAUGUAUACCGGUUAAUUUAAAAAAUAGUUUUUUCUCCGUGAUAUGAUUUAUUACAAUUGCUAAUUUAGUAUAGAUGAUGUUGCACUUUUUAAGCCAUGCGAAAUAAAUCAAACGUACAAAAAGAUAUAAGAAACGAAUGAAGAAAUUUUAAACAUAUAACCGCUUCUAACACCUCUUCCUAAUAUUACUUUUUAAGACAUUACACCUCGUAUUUUUUCUCGGACUUUGUUUCACUCGU